This is an RNA transcript of Armigeres subalbatus, 1198 nucleotides long. It is a transcript of the gene named perlucin-like, with no coding region annotated. NCBI's taxonomy places the organism in Eukaryota, Metazoa, Arthropoda, Insecta, Diptera, Culicidae. The record is from RefSeq and is a predicted model, not a curated record. The transcript has 3 exons.
GCAGCCUUACAAAUGUUCAGAUUUUUUUAAUCUUUCGAGUAGCUGUUCUAUUAUUAGUAAAAAUAAUAUCAAGUUCCUAAAUUGAGUGCUUAUAUGAUUGCACUUUGCCGAAUUUUUUUUUUGGUUUUCUUAUUAAUGAACAGUAGUCAACUUUGGCGUAGCCAGAAAAUUGGUCUAGGGGUGUUUCUCUAAUUCUAAUCUAAUUUUGCUUCCAUUUCUUGUUUUUUUGGACAAAUGAGAGAAAAAAUCAGGUGAAUCUAAAUGUUACCAAGCAACAAAAAAUCAAACCGUCAUUAAUUAACGAUCACCUUCUUGAAAAUAACAUAUGCGGAACUGCGUAAGUGACUGAAGAAAGGACCUUGAGGGUACUGGAAAGCCAAAGCUGCUUCAUAAACCAUUUAGUCAUUUGUAAGCUUAUUCCAAUGUAGUAAUUGUGUUUUGAAAGCAAAUAUUCUAUCGUGUAAACAAUGAUCCAUAUUUAACCAGUGUGAAUACUUAUUUCUAGCAGCAGUGUAUUCAAAUUAAUGUGAUGUGGGGUUGUUGGAUAGUUUUCCUCGUAAUAGUGAUAGGAAAUGUUGUACAAAGUACAGUAUUUCACAUUUCACGUGUAAAGAAAUCAUGGGUCAGUGCCAUCGAGUAUUGCAAAUGCUACGAAAUGCGACUAGCCGUGGUUGAUACGCUGGAAAAACAAAAACUACUUGAACAAGCCAUCGUUGGUUCUCCGAUAUUCAGCAAAAAAUACACCACCGUGUGGAUUGGAGCAAACGACCGGGAAACCGAGGGCCACUUUGUAUGGCAGCCAACGGGAACGGCAGUUCAGUACAGCAACUGGGGUCCCACGGCGCCUAACAAACGCGGUAGGAAUAAGAACUGCGUACACUUAGUUUAUUCCGAAAACAGGAUCUUUGAAUGGGAUGAUUGGAGAUGUCAACGUGAAUCGAAUGUUGCGUGUGAGAAAAUAAAAGAUUGUGAUUGACAAAUUCCGAAUUUUAGGAGCAGUGCUCACCGGAUUAUAUUAUAUCACGUGACACCUUCGAACGCAAGAAGUUCUAGCAAAUCAUCUGUCAAAAAUCGUUUCAAAUCUAGAAAAUAACUUUGUUGCAAGUUAGCUUAGUUAGUUUGAGUUUAGUUAGCAGUUGAGUUUAUUCUCUACUCAGUAUAAGUCAUAAGUGUAUGGAUCCCUUUUUAUGUGAUUAAA